This 334-nucleotide unclassified non-coding RNA is filed under the name soil metagenome. Its description in RNAcentral is "partial contains 5.8S ribosomal RNA, internal transcribed spacer 2, and large subunit ribosomal RNA". The stretch from base 1 to 120 matches the Rfam family "5.8S ribosomal RNA", at positions 35 to 154 of the family's 154-position model. The record is from RNAcentral.
GAUGAAGAACGUAGCGAAAUGCGAUAAGUAAUGUGAAUUGCAGAAUUCAGUGAAUCAUCGAAUCUUUGAACGCACAUUGCGCCCGCCAGUAUUCUGGCGGGCAUGCCUGUUCGAGCGUCAUUUCAACCAUCAAGCCCCGGGCUUGUGUUGGGGACCUGCGGCUGCCGCAGGCCCUGAAAUGCAGUGGCGGGCUCGCUGUCACUCCGAGCGUAGUAGUUACAUCUCGCUCUGGGCGUGCUGCGGGUUCGGGCCGUUAAAAGCCUUAUUUACCCAAGGUUGACCUCGGAUCAGGUAGGAAGACCCGCUGAACUUAAGCAUAUCAAUAAGCGGAGGA